UUCUAGUCCAUACUUCUGUACCCC
RNAcentral lists this non-coding RNA (24 nucleotides) under Cricetulus griseus (Chinese hamster). Lineage: Eukaryota; Metazoa; Chordata; Mammalia; Rodentia; Cricetidae. The record is from RNAcentral.